AUGGGAUUGGAAAUGCGAGUUCUCCUUGUGCUUGCCAUGGCUAUAUGCCUCCCCUCCGCCACAUAUGCAGCCGAUGGAACAGCCACUUUUUAUACACCUCCUUAUGUUCGUAAGUAUAUAAUUUUGCCGUUUCGAAUAUAUUAUCAGUAUAAUUUUGCCGUUUCGAAUAUAUUAUCACAAGCUGAAUUAGUUCCUCACAGGAAAACUGGUGUUUUUACACAACCAAUUUUGCCCUGGUGAGGCGACAUGGUGGCUCAUGAGUCAUUCUUUAACCUAAUAUGUUCUCAAUGCUCCUGCUGGUAUUCUUAACAUCAGCUCAAAACUCCUGCUGGUAUUCUUAUGCUAGAGCAACGUAACGAAGAUGGCCUUCAUGGCUGCUAUCUUUUCUUUAAGCUGACGUACAAAGCUGCAUUAAUCUGAGUAUUACAUUAAUUUCUUAAUUAGGUUUCAAAGAGUAGGAGAAAUUUGUUUAAUCGAGUGUCCUAUAUCUUUCGGAAUGAUUCAAUUAGUGUGUUUAUUCGAAACAAUUUCAACCUGUGUCAGUUUCAUAUGAGUUUUAUAAUAUAAAUUGAUGAGGGUUUAGUAAAAUGUUUAAAAGGCUUGAAAUUUUACCAUUUUACCCUCUUAAAUAUAAUGCAAUUGUUUAUAUGUAUAUAAGAAAAUGCUAGGCAUAGCACAUGUGUUUGUAUAUAUGUAUAUAGGAAAAUGCUAGGCAUACCAUAUUUAUAUACCACCUUGUGUACCACUUCUUUAAUAGAGGCGAGCCCCAUUGUAUUGGUAUGCUCUACUAAUGCAAUUGUAUUUAGAGCACUUCCACCCAUGGUGCCAUGGCAAGGGGCAGACAUUAUUCAUAUGAAUAUUGACUACCCACCCUAUGCUGUUUUAUUUUGUUUUUCCACCUAUUGUCAUGGUAAGUAAAGGCAAACACUAUUCACAUGAGAUAUGAGGAGAGGAAUUUGUAUGGAGUUUUAGUGUGAGAAGUGAAGAACAUAGUUAGGUAUUUAUAGAAGAAAAAAAAAUUACAAAUAUUUUGGUAUUUUUUUCCUUUUUACGUCAACAUGAGAUCAAUUAACCCGCAGCAACUCAGGCAAUUCUUACUUUUAGGCUGACUUCGGUAAAUGGGGUCCAUUUUUGCCAAGGUUGCCUUUCAUUGAUGGGGGGCUUGUUCCAAGUCUGGGCAACAAUGUUUUGCUGAAUAGGUCAAAAUGUUGCAUUAUUAAAAUGUUGAGAUGCACCUCACAUUAGUAACUGUCAACGGGACCAGCCUAAUGGAAAAUGGCCUUGAUUUGCAGACUAUAGGUCUCAAGUUCGAACCCGUGUAUGUGUAUGAAACCCCCCUCCCUCUCUAGUUUAGACUAUCACUUAUAAUAAAAUAAAAUAAAUUAUUAACUAAAAAUGACUGGUAACUAGAGAAUGUCUAUACGUGUCUAUGUAUAUCACAUGUGAACAUAGGAGAAUUAUGCGAAAAUCCUUUUUUCAGUCUAUUUUCAAUGAUAUAGGUUAUCUUCACAUGAUCAUCUUUGCAGAAAAUUAACAAAAUCAAAAGCUUUUUCGCCAUUGAAUACCAUCAAAAUCACUUCAGUUCUAACUGGCAGACUGCAUGUGUUCCUAAGUUUAGAUGGCCUAAAAAUUACAUAUUUGGACAAUAUUUGUAUCAAAGAUUAAGGAGCAAAUCAUAUGUGUCAAUUUUAAUCAUUGAAUUGCAUUACAGGGUGGUCCCAAGACGAUUCUUAUUUUAUUGAGCUCAUUUUGUGGAGCUGCCCUUGUGUAAAUGGCAAAUCUGCACCCCUUGAGGUUUUUGGCUUUUUCACAAAACCCCUUAAGUUUACUCUAAUAUUUUCUCAUGUUUUCGGCUCUUUUUGAGUUAUUUACACUAACACUCUCUCAUGUUUUAGAUUGUUUUCACAAAGUCCUUUUUUGUUGAUUGUUCUUCCAAAACUUGAUGAUUUCAUAUUUUUUUUUUUUAAAGCAAAUGAUAAAAUCAAUCUCAAUGAAUAUAUGUGCAAUCUAAUAUGAAAGCCUAACUUUGUCAUUUGGAGAAAUUUUUAUAUGAAAUCAUUAAUUUUUGGACGAAAAACCAACGAAAAAGGGUUUUGUGAAAACAAUUUAAAACCUCAGAGGAUGUUAGUGUAAUUUUUGAAACAUCAAGGGAUUUUUUGAAAAAGCCAAAACUCGUAAUGUUUCAUCUUUAAUGGAAUCUCUUUAAUAAGUCAAAUCUAAAAUUUUAUUCAUUUGAUUACCAUCUAAUGAUUUCACUAUAUUAUUUGUUGGACUAUGUUUUUUAUACUGUUUAGAUCACCAAAUAGUUAACAUUGGGCUAAUUUUGUACUGAACUUAUCCAUAACUGGUGACCUAAGAAUAAAACUGUUAAUUAAGGUCAUUGAGUUGCUAAGGGUGGCCCAAGAGAGAAUGUUGGCAUGUAUCUUAAAAUUCUAAUGAGUGUUGUUAUUUCCACACCAUGUUCUAUUUCUUCAUUCACCUUAUCUUCCCACUCAUUAUGUAAAUUUGAAAAAACAUAAUCCUUUCUUUCCACCCACCAUUAUUUUUAAAAUACUCAUUAUUUUUCCACCCACCAAGUAAAUAAUAAUAAUAAUAUAUUAUUAAAUAAAUUAAUAAACAAUAUAAAAUACUCAAACAAACAAAAAAAGACUCUCACAACCCCCACCCACACCGCCCCCCCCACCCCACCCCACCCCCACCAACAUGGGGGAGAGAGAGAGAUAGAGGAGGGAAAAUAGAGGAGGAGGGCCGAGCGGGUGGGUGGAGGCGAAGAGACAGAGGGUGGGGUGGAGUUAAUCUUUUUAGUUUUAUUUAUAAUCUUUUUUGUAAAAAAAAAUUUUCUCUAAAUUCUUUGAAGUUAUUUUUUAAAUAGAUAAAUUUAUCUUUAAUAUUUUGAAAAUAAGGUAGGUGGAAAAAUAGAACAAAAUGUGGAAAUAACAACCCUCAUUCUAAUAUCACUGCAUGCGUGCACAUACCCAGCUAAUAAAUUAUAAAAAUAAAAAAUAAAAUCAUCCUCUACCUGUACGUAGAAGGUGCAUGGAGGUGUAAAAGAUGGCGGAACUACACUAUGGGCUGCAAUGGGGCAUAACCCAGAGUGGUUUUAGGGGGAAAAAAAUCAAACCUAUAUAUUUGAUUUGAUUUAAAUACAUGAUAGUAUGUAUUAACUUAUUAAAGUCCAAAAAAUUCAAUUCUUUAUGCAUUUAGUUGCUGGGCAAUAAUAAAAAUACAAAUUAAAAUACGUACACUUUGAAUUAUGUUGAUAUAUUCAAUUUUAAUAAUAUGUGUUUUUUGGUUACUUUUAAUAUGUAUUUAUUUUAUAUUAAAGCUUAUUAAAAAUUAAUUAAAAAAACUAUGAAGUAGAGUGAUUUAUAUGAUUUAAUGUAUACUUUUAUUUCUAGAAAAACUAUAAUAAAAGAAAAAUAUAUAUAUAUCAUUAGAUUAAUUUUAAAAUAAUAAAUUUAGCUAGCUCACCCAUUGAUAAAUCUACCUAUAAAUAUUUCAUGAAGACAAACAUUAUCCAAGUUGAUCCUAUAUCCUUAAUUAUACAUCCAUUAAUAAUUUUCUGGUUGACGUGCAGCCUCCUCAUGCUACGGAUACCAAAAUGAUGGAGUGAUGAUAGCCGCAGCAAGCGAUGCCAUUUGGGGCAACAGAGCAGCUUGUGGAAGAAGGUACAGAGUGACAUGCACCGGAGCCACUAACCAAGGUGUCCCACAACCUUGCAAGGGAACCAGCGUUGUCGUUAAAAUUGUCGACUACUGUCCUCCCGGAUGCAGAGGAACCAUUGAUCUCUCUCAAGAGGCCUUCACCGUCAUUGCUAACCCCAACGCCGGAAAAAUCAAGAUUAGUUAUACUCAG
This 3855-nucleotide long non-coding RNA is filed under the name Prunus dulcis (almond). RNAcentral describes it as "sRNA ncRNA". The record is from RNAcentral. Lineage: Eukaryota; Viridiplantae; Streptophyta; Magnoliopsida; Rosales; Rosaceae.